GACCCCCUGAUACCUUAUAGUGAGCACCAAUUCUUUUAUAUAUCUUUUGUGAAUUUAAAGUUUGGGGUUUUAAAUAUCCUGUGAAUUUUUCUUUUUACCUUUGAAUUCUGUUUAGGAGUGUUAGACUGUCUGACUGAUUAUAGGUCUAGCCUCUUUUGUGCGGAUGUGUUGGAUAUUCUUCUUAUUUGUUUUACGACGGAAUUUUAAUGUGGCUGAUUGAUUUUGUUUUCAGGGUUUAUGGGUUUUUGUCUUGGGGACGAUUAGAUUGAACCCAUACUGGUUUUGGCCUUAUCAUUGUUAAAAUAUUCAAAUUUUUGUAUCUUUGAAGUUUGAACUGCAGUAAUUAUUGAUUUUGAUUAUGAUCUUAACACCCUUCUUGAGAAGCUAGUGCUUAGCCUUGGUAUUGAUUAGUCACUUAGUUUAUUUGAUUAUCUGACUUUGAUUAUUGGGUAUAGCCUCUUUGCUGCGCAUGUUUGUUGGAUAUUCUUGUUAUUUGUUUUAUGAUGGAAAUUCAAUGUGACUGAUGGACUUAUUGGGUUUUGUUUUGGGGGCGAUUAGAUU
This 561-nucleotide unclassified non-coding RNA is filed under the name Hevea brasiliensis (rubber tree). Lineage: Eukaryota; Viridiplantae; Streptophyta; Magnoliopsida; Malpighiales; Euphorbiaceae. The record is from RNAcentral.